RNAcentral lists this long non-coding RNA (510 nucleotides) under Eutrema salsugineum. RNAcentral describes it as "long non-coding RNA (ESAL_LNC000566)". Lineage: Eukaryota; Viridiplantae; Streptophyta; Magnoliopsida; Brassicales; Brassicaceae. The record is from RNAcentral.
AAAAACUUUCCAUAAGAGCAUCACCAACGGCUAUAGCGGCUACAACUUCAAGGACGAGUAAGGAAACUGGUUCAGGAUCCAUCAUGCCUCAGAACUGCAUAGCACCAAGGCCUGAAGAAAAUGGCCAAGUCAUGGUACAAGGUUUGACAGAUAUGUCAGAAACACAGAGCAAGUCUGUAAUAGCCUUCCCUGUGGUCACUUCACAACCUGGUCUCCAGCUUUCCAUGUACCCCAUAACUCUCAAGGUGUCUCUCUCUCUUUCUAUAUAGAUAUCUCUCCUGCACAAAGAAAGAGAGAGAAAUAAAUAAAAAUCAGUAUUGUGCACUUCUUGUUUUAGUUUUCAGUUGAGCUUUUGAAAUUUACCUGCAAGAAAUCUCAUCAGAAAUAUUCCUCUCUUCUUACUCUAGCUUGGUAGUAGAUUACAAGACGGGGACAUCAUUCUAACAACGUAUUCCAUCUAUUUCUUUGUGGUUGUACAGUUUGAGGAGGUUGUGUACAAGGUUAAGAUAG